AUAAUAUGAGGAAAGAGAGGGCACAGAGGUGUAAUUUGUCAGAGUGGAUGGAGAUCUGUAUUAUCUAUCAUAUAAUAUUCAGGGAAGUAAGAGAUUGAUUAAAAUAGCAACGUGCUGAAGAGUCUUCCAUUGAACAUGCAUCAGUAGCCUUCCCAAGGUUAGAGAAAAUCCACUCUCUUCUCUGAUCUAUUGUUUAUGACCACUGCUUUGUCUUUUGAUUCAGAUGAUAUUGAAAAAGAAUUGAAUUAUCCUUUUGUUCUGCGGGUCAAACAUCUAGAUUUGUCAAAUCAAUGGAAACAUUGUGCACUAAAUUCGUUGAUCUUACUAAGUUGGUUGUAUUUUGAUUUUGAAUCUUUUCAGUUAAUGUCUUGUCAAUUUGUGAUUUGAUGUUCAGGAGAAAGAUGAAGACGGUUGCCGUGGCAUUGUUGGUUGCUUUAAUUGUUGUUGUUGAAGUCCCUUUCUAAUGAGACUUCAUCAGAGUAGUUGGUUGUUAAGUAGUUAAAAGGUGGUUAGAAUGAUUAAGGGUAGUAUAGUCUUUUCUAUUAAAAGUUGUUAUAACUAAUUCUUCCAAUAGUUAGUUACACAAACAACUAUAAAUACAUGUUCAUGCUAUUGUACAAGUG
RNAcentral lists this long non-coding RNA (623 nucleotides) under Solanum tuberosum (potato). Its description in RNAcentral is "long non-coding RNA (STUB_LNC000452)". The record is from RNAcentral. Lineage: Eukaryota; Viridiplantae; Streptophyta; Magnoliopsida; Solanales; Solanaceae.